RNAcentral lists this ribozyme (75 nucleotides) under unclassified sequences. RNAcentral's name for it is "pistol ribozyme". It matches the Rfam family "Pistol ribozyme". The record is from RNAcentral.
ACUCGACUAUGCGAGUAUAAAAAGACAUUAGGCAUAGUGCGUUAUAGACCGUAUAACAGCGGUCUAUAGGUUGUA